Molecule: non-coding RNA, 73 nt
Organism: Acanthoscelides obtectus
Lineage: Eukaryota; Metazoa; Arthropoda; Insecta; Coleoptera; Chrysomelidae
Source: the annotation of a GenBank genome assembly
GGCUCGUUAGCUCAGUGGUUAGAGCGUCAACCUGAAUAAAUGAAGGUCGUAGGUUCGAAUCCUACACGAGCCC